This 1020-nucleotide ribosomal RNA is filed under the name human gut metagenome. Its description in RNAcentral is "bacterial SSU rRNA". It matches the Rfam family "Bacterial small subunit ribosomal RNA", at positions 8 to 1027 of the family's 1533-position model. The record is from RNAcentral.
AGAGUUUGAUCCUGGCUCAGGAUUAACGCUGGCGGCAUGCCUAAUACAUGCAAGUCGAACGGAUGUACUUGUACAUCAGUGGCGAACGGGUGAGUAAUAUAUAGGUAACUUACCCCUAAGUCUGGUAUAACUACUGGAAACGGUUCGUAAUACCGGGUAGGAUAUUUACACACAUGUGUUUAUAUUUAAAGGUGCCUUCAAGCAUCGCUUAGGGAGAGGCCUGUAUCGCAUUAGCUAGUUGGUGAGGUAACGGCUCACCAAGGCGACGAUGCGUAACUGUGCUGAGAGGCAAAACAGUCACAUUGGAACUUAGACACGGUCCAAACUCCUACGGGAGGCAGCAGUAGGGAAUUUUCGGCAAUGGGGGCAACCCUGACCGAGCAAUGCCGCGUGAAUGAAGAAGAUCUUCGGAUUGUAAAAUUCUGUUAUUGGGGAAGAAAAAUAUGCAUAGGAAAUGAUGUAUAUCUGACGGUACCUGAUGAGGAAGCCCCGGCUAACUAUGUGCCAGCAGCCGCGGUAAUACAUAGGGGGCAAGCGUUAUCCGGAAUUAUUGGGCGUAAAGCGUGCGUAGGCGGUUUAUUAAGUCUGAUGUGAAAGCCCACAGCUUAACUGUGGAAUGUCAUUGGAAACUGGUAAACUAGAGUACGGUAGAGGUAAGUGGAAUUCCAAGUGGAGCGGUGGAAUGCGUAGAGAUUUGGAGGAACACCAGUGGCGAAGGCGGCUUACUGGGCCGGAACUGACGCUGAGGCACGAAAGCGUGGGGAGCAAACAGGAUUAGAUACCCUGGUAGUCCACGCCGUAAACGUUGAGCACUAAGUACUGGGAGUUAAAUUUCGGUGCUGCAGUUAACACAUUAAGUGCUCCGCCUGGGGAGUACGGUCGCAAGACUGAAACUCAAAGGAAUUGACGGGGACCCGCACAAGCGGUGGAGCAUGCGGUUUAAUUCGAUGCAACGCGAAGAACCUUACCAGGUCUUGACAUCUGAUUGCCAGGACUAGAGAUAGUCCCUUUCUUCGGAAC